Long non-coding RNA from Mustela erminea (ermine), 2034 nucleotides. RefSeq lists it as uncharacterized. NCBI's taxonomy places the organism in Eukaryota, Metazoa, Chordata, Mammalia, Carnivora, Mustelidae. The transcript is spliced from 3 exons. The record is from RefSeq and is a predicted model, not a curated record.
AGCUGUUCCGUGAGAGAUAAUAUUUACCAGUAUUUAAACAAAAAAAAGUCCCUGAGAACAAGCAAAAGAUAGCAUCGGGAGCAGGGAGGGCAGACUGAAGAGAAUUUUCUAGAGAUCCUCCAGGUAAACAAUGACGAGGACCUGAACUCUUGACUUGACAGUGGGCUUGGAGACAACAGAAGAGUUGGGACAGCAGGUGGCGGAACCCUGACGUGGCCAUAUAAACAUAUAGCAGGAGAACAUGCUAGAGCAUGAGAGACAACAUGGGGGAUACUGAUAGCCCUCUGAGGCCAUCCUCGACCAGCCCACAGCAAGCCGGCUCCUCCCCAGGUUCAACUUCUAACCAAGCUGCUCCAGCUGUGGACCGUGCCUCCAGCCCUCCACUUGCCAGAUGAGUAGAUGGCAGUCCACGUUCUCCAGUUCAGCAAGACGCGGGGAUAAAAGCCAAAUGUUUAACUGAAGACCUAAGCUUGUACGUGAACCCAGAAUGGAUGAAUACACUCAAAGAAGACAGGAAAUGCUAGUUUUUGAGCAUGACUCUAUGCCUGACAUCAUGCCUUGUGCUCUGGCCAUGCUGCAAGGCAGGCUGUUUGCAUUUCUCAGAUGAAGAAUUUGAAACCCAGAAAUUUUGUCUGAGUUGCCCAUUAUUAUCUCAGACCCACCAAAUGGGACAAAUGGAACCCAAACACAGAUGUCGGCUUCCCAAACCAUCAUUGUUGUCUGCAGUCUCUGGGCUCUCUCACCUCACUGGGCCCUGAGGCCCUAGCCUGGAUUUGAUUUCAACAUUGAUACUUUCACAGGCCAACACUCUCUCUCUCUCCCACACACACACACAAGUGUGUGUGUGUGCGUGUGGAAAUAUACGAAACAUUAAAUAUUAGCAAACUGCCCUUGGAUAUGAUUUUUAACAUCUCUGCCAUAAAGUUUCAUCACUUACACAACAGUGGUAAUUAUGUCGACUUUGGAACAUUUUGUUGCUCAGAAUAAAUUAAAUGUCACGUGCUUAGCACACAUCUGGAAAACAGCAAGACUCAUAAAUGUUUAGUUCUUUCCUUCCUUCCUGAAAUCUGCAGAAGAGGGGCUGCAUUUUUCUUCACAGAGUCACCUAGUGCUGAGACCUGCAUGUCACAGAAAGACUGUACUGAAUCAUUGCAGAAUGGACUUGAAUUAACUGCACUUCAAGCUAAUUCUGUCCUGGGUUUAUUAGUUCGAUUUCUUCAGUAAUUCUGCCACUAACACAACUAUUGUAACAAUGACAGCAUGCACUGUUUUUAUAGUAUUUGAUAAUCACGGUAACACUAGCAGGUGAAAAAAGUUAUUAUUUUUUUCCUAUUUCUUAGAUGAUCCAGACUCUAGGAGGCUAAGUCAAUUGUCUCAAGUCACGCGGCAUCAGGUCAGGACCAAUAUCAAUGUCCUCGAAUCCCACGUUUGCCUUCCCUGCUGGCAUGCGACAUAGGACAGCACACACCUCAAGCCAAAAGGCACAUGUGGCCAUUUAAAAAGAAAAUAAGUGAGCAAGAUCUUAAGAUCUUAAGAUCUUGAGAAAACUAUAAAGCAAGGGUCUUGAUAUAGGGCAGAUGUUACCACCACACAUGGGAUACUAUGAUAUCUUGAAAGCCAUGGAAGGUGCAUAGGUCUCAAACAGGGAUUGACCACUGGCUGGGGAGAGAUAUCUUCAGGGCCUCUACCUUCUUCUGAGGUCAGGGAGAAGAGUUCAUCAUCAGUAGGAAGAGCCAUUGUUAUUUCUGUUCAGAAUGAAACAAAAAUGGUAUCUGUCAAGGCCAUUAUUCUUUUGGAUAUCAUUUAAGUGAACAAUAUAAGGAUGGGUUUGUGACAUUUCACUGAGAGUAAGAAAUCCCAAGUCACAGAACAGAGAGUUUGAGAGCUAUGCUGGGGGCUCAGAAGUCAGGCAUAGAAAGGGAAAUAAGACAUGGGAUUAGAAAUGAAAAGGAAAUCCCAACUUCCAGUUUAAGUUGUUCCCCUUCACCCUCAGAGCUUAGUUUCUGCAACUGUAAAUGGGUCUUGUAAAGACGA